ACCCACAGCCUUGUUAUGUGCCCUGACGGGGAAUGGAACCCGUGACCCUUCGGUGCAGGGGACACGCUCUAACCCACAGAGGACACCGGCCGGGGCUCUGGGAGCCACUUUACAGAUGAGGAAAAUGAGGCUCAAGGAGGCUACGGGAGAAAAGCCCAAGCAGAACUGCGUCAGGCUCUCUGGGGGGUAAACCGCUGCUCACUGGUGACUGCGCCUGGACUAGGGGAGGUCAGAAUGGGGAACCGACUUCUCCGGAAGGAGGGAGGGUCACACAAUUGAGAAGAGAUGAGGCCUGGAUGGAGCCCUGGUCGCCUGACUCCAGAACCCACGUUCUGAAAUCCUCUGCACUUUCUGCUGCAGGUGCAGCCUGAUGUGGAAACAAGGCUCAGAAGGCUACCCACAUAAUGAUUGUGAGAAAUGCAGUGAGAACCCACUUAGGUCUUGAGUCUACUGUCUCAACAAGUACCUACUAAACAUUCAACUAUAUGUCAGAGUCUGCGCCAUGCCCAGGAGAUGUAACAGUGAGCAAGAGAGAGUCCUCCUACCUUUAUGAGCACUAAUUCCAGGAGGGGCGGACAGACAAGACAGGAAAUGUUGGCAGAAUGAGGUGACAAGAGCUAAUUUGGCCGGGCAGAGGACAAAGGUCUGCUCUGGGCUGUCUCAGCCCUGGCACUUUGGGGGACCCAGCAGAGCAAAGAUGAGGAAACGGAAGCUCAGAGAAGGACUUGACUUGUCUAAGGUCUAAAAUCACACAGCAAGGAAUUGGCGGAGCUGGGAUCAGAACCCAGGCACCCUUGACUCCAGAGUUGUUUAACCAGAACCACACACCUGACCCCGCCAGCUGCCCACAGGGCAGGAACCAGAACCAAAACCAGAACCAGGUCUUACGCUCACCCCAGCACAGAGCUGAGCCCUUCAAUAACUCCUAUGGAUUGCCAGAUCCCUUCUCUGAGAGACAUGUCUGCCCAGACAGAAUGGAAAAUCCCUGGCUGAAGGAAGGGCCGUGGAAAUUUCUUCUUAACGUUCCCUUUCCAGACUUGGACUCACCCCAGAAAGCAGUCAAGCAUUUGCCCAGUGACCUGCAAGGCAGCGCUGUUCUUCCUCCUCCACCCCCACCCCAGGCGGGAACCCAGGGAGCAGUGAUGAGUGGGCGCGGCUGGGGAGAAGCCAUAGUGGCAGCGGAUGACUGCUCUGCUCUGCCUCGGAGAACCACUCUUGAUGUCCUUUAGUCCCACACCUUCAGUUUAAAGAUGAAGAAACACGGCUCAGUGGCAAAAUCAGACUAGACUGAGGGUGUUUCCACUCCCACUCCAACCCCCUUACAUUGCUCCAUGUACCUGUGUCCUCAUUGUAAAACGGGAAUAAUAAUAGUACCUACUUCAUUGAAUUGGUGGUAUGUCAGAUGAGUUAAAGAUGUAGAGUAUUUUGUAGAUAUGAGCUCUAUAUGCUCUCGAGUCCUGAGCUUGCCCUUCCUUGUAGCCCCAUGGUGGAGCGUGCUGUUAGCAUUCUGCUGAUCUCUUGUGGGGACGGGAGGGGGCUUGAAUGAGGGCUUGAGUCAUCACCAGAGGCAGGCAAGUUCCAAUGAGGCCUGUCUUGUCUAGAGAUUGUAUCCACAGCAUGUCUGGCCCAUAUUAGUCCCACUGCUUUUUAAAAUGU
Molecule: long non-coding RNA, 1656 nt
Organism: Myotis brandtii (Brandt's bat)
Lineage: Eukaryota; Metazoa; Chordata; Mammalia; Chiroptera; Vespertilionidae
Exons: 6
Source: RefSeq, a predicted model, not a curated record